CUCUAAUGCAGUGGAUUAAGAGAGUUAUUUGCAUAUAAAGUUUAAUAAUUACAUACAAUUAAAAGGCAAUAAAAAUAAAUUAAGAAAAUGUUGUAUUUUAUUAUAACAACUCCAUAAUAAAUUUUAAAUUUUUAUAAAAAUAUUCUAACAGGUUUUGUACUCUUGAAUUUGUUUUAUCACAAAUUUUGUCUGACCAAAUAUAUUUCCAACAAGGGGGAAGGGCAUAUCGCCGACAAAGGGGGUGCUACUUGCAAGAAUAUCUUCUCAUAAAAAUCAGAGCAGAUUAGUGAACAUGCUAGCGAUACUGGAAGUUGAAGGGGGUCACAGGAGGAAGAUGAUGUUGUGGCUUUAGUGGUGGAGGAAAUCACGAGAAUCAGUUGAAGAUCAAAUCCCUUAAACAAUGCCAAUGAUCAUGAGGUGGAUUCCAUCGCUUUUAUAAGUAAAAGUCUGAGUAAUUGUUGUCUCGUGAUGGUCUGGCUCAACUUGAAGAACUCCAUUCAGCUGAGCCUGUAAUGCCUAAGCUCAACUUGUCUGGCUCAGAAGACAUAUAUAGACACCAAGGGCCCUUAGUUCUUAAAAGGUGGAGUAUUCCUCUCUUUCUCUACAAGAGGUUAAGGAAUGUGAGGGCGGCUGUAAAGUAAAGAUAACAGUGGGGAUGGAAAGGGACCAGAGGGAGGAUUCAGUUUUUCCGAGGAAGGGAUGGAAAGGAGCUGCUCGGAAUAAAUCUUCAAGAAUUGAAUACACCUGAUCUUGUUACAGCUGCACGGCCUGAACCUAAUGUUGCUUGUCUGCCCAUGGCUCUUCCAUCAAAUGUAACCGGAGGAUACUGCACCUCCCAUUCUUCACCUAAGAAGUGAGCAAUACAAUCUACUGCACAGAUUGAAUGCGCACAACUGCGCGCGAGUAACGAGGACAGGAAGACAUGGGAAGCAUGCAGAGAAGGUCUGUAUUUGAUUUCAGUGCUGAGGGGAGAGAUGAGAUACCUGGAAAGCAUUUGGCCACUCCUAUUCUCCUUGCUAGCUAGGGCGAACAACGAAAACAAGAAGUCCCCAGCUAUGAAAUUGUUUGUGAGACAUUGGAUUAUCUGAGGAGUCUUGGUCUCAUAGAUGAUGAUGAUGAUCUCUAUGAGUUUCUUAAAAAGUUUCCCGGGGUCCUAAUUAGCUGUGGCCUCGAACAUGAAUUGAGAAGUGAUGUGAAGAUCCUGGAGAAGGAUCAGGGAAUAAAAGGAAAAUCUCUACAAAAACUUCUUCUUCGAAAUGUUGAUUGAAAAGGAGAUUGUUUAUCAAA
Long non-coding RNA from Populus nigra (black poplar), 1287 nucleotides. RefSeq lists it as uncharacterized. The transcript has 2 exons. Lineage: Eukaryota; Viridiplantae; Streptophyta; Magnoliopsida; Malpighiales; Salicaceae. The record is from RefSeq and is a predicted model, not a curated record.